Molecule: unclassified non-coding RNA, 277 nt
Filed under: Glomus sp.
Lineage: Eukaryota; Fungi; Glomeromycota; Glomeromycetes; Glomerales; Glomeraceae
Description: partial contains 5.8S ribosomal RNA and internal transcribed spacer 2
Rfam family: 5.8S ribosomal RNA (bases 1-65)
Source: RNAcentral
GUGAAUCAUCGAAUCUUUGAACGCAAAUUGCACUCUCUUCGGAGAGUAUGACUGUUUGAGGGUCAGCCUAUAAAAAUCGACAACGUUGUUGUUUUGCGGUGGUGUUCGUCGGAAAUCGGGUUAUCUUAAAUCUUUUUGAUUUAAGCGACUUAAAAUUUUCUUUUGGUUUCAUGUACGUUUCUAUGAUCUAUUUUUUUAUACGUUUAAGGUAUCGAUUUCUACUAGACGUGAUCAUCAUAUCUGAUCGCGUCAAUAAUCUUUCAUUAACUGUCCUAAG